Long non-coding RNA from Mytilus trossulus (common blue mussel), 176 nucleotides. RefSeq lists it as uncharacterized. The record is from RefSeq and is a predicted model, not a curated record. Lineage: Eukaryota; Metazoa; Mollusca; Bivalvia; Mytilida; Mytilidae. The transcript is spliced from 3 exons.
UAGGUACUUUCUGUGGCAUGUUUUCAUGGUGUGGGAAUAAGACUUGGUGGUCAAAUACAGCUAAUAUGUAGGUUAGCACCACAGCUUGUCUGCAAGGAUUGAAGCUGGGAAACGGCAUUGGAGCUGAAUUUUAUGGAAGCUGUGGCUGCAGCAAUGAUUAUGUGAUAAAACUGAAG